Small nuclear RNA from Leopardus geoffroyi (Geoffroy's cat), 105 nucleotides. Lineage: Eukaryota; Metazoa; Chordata; Mammalia; Carnivora; Felidae. The record is from RefSeq and is a predicted model, not a curated record.
GUGCUGUCUUCGGCAGCACAUAUACUAAAAUUGUAACCAUACAGAGAAGAUUAGUAUGGCCCGUGAAAGGGUGAUAUGAACAUUCGUGGAACGUUCUACAGUUAA